GAUGAACGCUGGCGGCGUGCCUAAUACAUGCAAGUCGAGCGAAUGGAUUAAGAGCUUGCUCUUAUGAAGUUAGCGGCGGACGGGUGAGUAACACGUGGGUAACCUGCCCAUAAGACUGGGAUAACUCCGGGAAACCGGGGCUAAUACCGGAUAAUAUUUUGAACUGCAUGGUUCAAAAUUGAAAGGCGGCUUCGGCUGUCACUUAUGGAUGGACCCGCGUCGCAUUAGCUAGUUGGUGAGGUAACGGCACACCAAGGCAACGAUGCGUAGCCGAACUGAGAGGGUGAUCGGCCACGCUGGGACUGAGACACGGCCCAGACUCCUACGGGAGGCAGCAGUAGGGAAUCUUCCGCAAUGGACGAAAGUCUGACGGGGCGACGCCGCGUGAGUGAUGAAGGCUUUCGGGUCGUAAAACUCUGUUGUUAGGGAAGAACAAGUGCUAGUUGAAUAAGCUGGCACCUUGACGGUACCUAACCAGAAAGCCACGGCUAACUACGUGCCAGCCGCCGCGGUAA
Molecule: ribosomal RNA, 515 nt
Filed under: uncultured bacterium
Lineage: Bacteria
Description: partial 16S ribosomal RNA
Rfam family: Bacterial small subunit ribosomal RNA
Source: RNAcentral